RNAcentral lists this ribosomal RNA (465 nucleotides) under Vreelandella stevensii. RNAcentral describes it as "partial 16S ribosomal RNA". It matches the Rfam family "Bacterial small subunit ribosomal RNA", at positions 338 to 795 of the family's 1533-position model. The record is from RNAcentral. Lineage: Bacteria; Pseudomonadati; Pseudomonadota; Gammaproteobacteria; Oceanospirillales; Halomonadaceae.
CCUACGGGUGGCUGCAGUGGGGAAUAUUGGACAAUGGGGGGAACCCUGAUCCAGCCAUGCCGCGUGUGUGAAGAAGGCCCUCGGGUUGUAAAGCACUUUCAGUGAGGAAGAACGCCUGGUGGUUAAUACCCAUCAGGAAAGACAUCACUCACAGAAGAAGCACCGGCUAACUCCGUGCCAGCAGCCGCGGUAAUACGGAGGGUGCGAGCGUUAAUCGGAAUUACUGGGCGUAAAGCGCGCGUAGGUGGCUUGAUAAGCCGGUUGUGAAAGCCCCGGGCUCAACCUGGGAACGGCAUCCGGAACUGUCAAGCUAGAGUGCAGGAGAGGAAGGUAGAAUUCCCGGUGUAGCGGUGAAAUGCGUAGAGAUCGGGAGGAAUACCAGUGGCGAAGGCGGCCUUCUGGACUGACACUGACACUGAGGUGCGAAAGCGUGGGCAGCAAACAGGAUUAGAUACCCUUGUAGUC